AGCGGGGUAGCUCAGUUGGUAGAGCAAGCGGCUCAUAAUCGCUGUGUCGCCGGUUCAAAUCCGGCCCUCGCUAC
Molecule: transfer RNA, 74 nt
Filed under: freshwater metagenome
Description: tRNA-Met
Rfam family: tRNA
About the family: Transfer RNA (tRNA) molecules are approximately 80 nucleotides in length. Their secondary structure includes four short double-helical elements and three loops (D, anti-codon, and T loops).
Source: RNAcentral